GGAGGAGUCGCCUAGUGGCUAUGGCGCACGUCUGGAAAGCGUGUUUACUUGAAAAAGUAUCGCGGGUUCGAGUCCCGCCUCCUCCGCCA
Molecule: transfer RNA, 89 nt
Filed under: Candidatus Shapirobacteria bacterium CG10_big_fil_rev_8_21_14_0_10_38_14
Lineage: Bacteria; Candidatus Shapironibacteriota
Description: tRNA-Ser
Rfam family: tRNA
About the family: Transfer RNA (tRNA) molecules are approximately 80 nucleotides in length.
Source: RNAcentral